AUUCAAUCGUUCUACCACUUCUUCAAGCAAUAAUUCCAUAACUAAAUCAGCUGCAGUUGGCGAGAAGGGAUUUCCCAUGGCGGUUCCAGAGAUCUGUUUGAAGUACUGUCCACGAAAUGAGAAGUAGCUACAUUCCAUGCAGAAAUUUACAAUUUCAAUGAAAAAAUCAAGGUUGAUUUUCGUGUGUCGUUUGAUUUUAUCCCAUUUGGUUAUUAUUGUGUGUAUUACUAGACUCAUGGGUAUGCAAGUGAAUAGAGAUACCACAUCCAACGAAAUAAGAAUGUAGCUUGGUGGCAGUCGUACCGUAUUAAUGUACUCGCAGAAACUGAAAGAGUCUGUUACAUUAUACUCACACUCAAUCGAUGCUCGCACGAUGCGUCCAAUAUAUUUAGACAGCAUGUAUGAUGGUACUCCGAUGUUGGGUACGACUUGCCGGAGCGGUAGGUCCUGCUUAUGUGCUUUCGGUAGUCCAUAUAUUCUUGGGCAAUGCGAUGACAAGGUGCAUAGCUGAUAGGCUGUUGUAGAAUCAAUCAACUCUAAGUUUAGCAGUUGAUUUACCAAAGACUGCGAAGCCGAAAGAAACUCCUCUGAGUAAACUAACAGUCGAUAAAAAGUAUAGUGCAUCCGUAUUACGAAACUGAGACAAAUUGUAGGAACUGGAAAUAAAGGUGGGGCUUAUCUAAAGAUUGCUCUAAGCCAGAAUGAAUGAAAUGUAUUUUUCCUACAUUAGCAUUGCGACAUACAAAAUAAUUUUUUUGAACGCUGGAGAAUGAUAUAACUGGAAGAAAAGUUACGCCUCUAUUUCCAGUUAUACCAUUUUCUAACGUUCGAAAAAUUUAUUAUGAGCGGAUAUCGCAUGCGAUCUGACCAUGAGGCAUUUAUGCGAUAGUUGAAUGAAAAUUUCAAUUGCAAUUUUCUAGCGGAACGAAAGUAAUAGCGCUCUCAGGGUUUGACCAAUCGGUUUCCGAUCUUCUACAAAGUUUCUUGGUAUCGUUAGGGCUUCAUUUUGCAUGUUUGAAUUAGUUCGAAGUUUAGCCGCAAAGGUGGCGUUGCGAUGCUAACUUCUUUCUCUUACGUGCUAGAGCUUUGCGGUAUUCGACAAAGUUGUAGAUCUCUAAUUUCCAUGGAACUUUACAGAAUAUACAAAUUUUAUAACUCUUCAAGUUUCAAGUAUGAGUUCACUCUGAUUAAUAUUGUACAUAACCGGCGAAAUAUACGAAACAAAUCCGAUUUCAAACAGAAAAGUUCGGCACGUUCUGCUUACGAUGCUAAGUCCGUUUUAGAAAAUUCACAACGCUUCAUUAACAAGAAUGUAACGCCUUAAUAAAGACGGUUAUAGCUUGACAUCACAACAUUUUCUUCUUUCAAACCACGCUCGAUACAUGUUAUAUUGUUGCCUUCAUAAGAGUUCUAUCCGGUUUAGAGUAGAAAGAGAGCUGGUGAUUGGAUAGCCGCAGCUUUCCCAAUUGAUUGGGUGAUUUUCCUACUGCUUUGAUUAAAAAGAUAUGCCUAUCGUUUUAUCAAAAGUUUGGUUAAUACUAUCGAUUAAAAAAAUAAGUGUUCUGGAUCUUUUCAGUGAAGGUAAUAUUACAUGCUAUACAUGCAUUACUAUACCAUCCUGUUCUUCCUGUGCUUGAGUUGUAAAAAUUAAUCUCGAUCAUACGCAUGGUUCAUAACAAUCUGCAGAAGGGGCAUCUUUUGCCGAUUGAGUGUUCCGCCCUUCCUCCGGUGAAGCUCUGUCUUACAGCUUCAUGAAAUACAAACAAUCUUUGUAUUCAUAUACUUGACCGAGGAUUCCGACGAUACCUUCGCAAAACAAAAACUCUUUCUGCUUUGUUUUAAACAUUCAACUGAAAUCGCUAACUGUUACUGCACAAUUCAAUUGCCUGAGUCAACUUGAGCACAUCAAUUAGUGCGCUUUCGACGUAGAAUUACGUCUUACGACAACAUAUAUAGAGGUACAAAUUGUAAAACCGAAAACACCGAGAGCGUCACGAAUAUUAUCCAUUUUCAAAUGUUUUAAACUCAGUCAGUUUCCAGCGGAUUUCGUUCAUUUUUGAAGCAAAAAUAAUAUACAAAAAAUAUACCGCUUCACACCAUUAAAUUGCUUAACCCUAAUCGAGUGUAUUUCCAAAGCUAUUGCAACAAGUUUAUUGACAUAAGACAGGCUGUCGUAAUUCUACGUUAACUUGAGGUCGUAUCUUAUAAACAACCUCUUCAACUUUCUUUUAUGCGUGUAGCACUUUUGAUUUGCAUAAAAGUAAUAAUUUUCUGAAAGUUCAGUUAUUCUACAACAACAAAACUUGUUUGUUCAUAAGAAAUACCUAUAAGUUGGCGAGUAAUUGAAAACACCGGCUCUCGUCCGAUCACCGAAGUUAAGCAACAUCGGGCGCGAUUAGUACUUAGAUGGGUGACCGCUUGGGAACGUCACGAGUGAAGUGAGGAACCGACGAUCGAAUAUGAAUUCGAUAUUAACAGCAAAAAAAAAAGCUCCUGAAUGCCUUUGGCCUUGCUUAGUGCAACAAUCUGAUCACUUUACUUAGCUUCCUUCUUGCAACUUUUCACUCACUUGUUACUUGUUACUUGUUACGAACGCCGCGGUACUUCUGACCGUUUGGCGGUUUUUCAAUUCCUGAUUCCCCUCUUUUUACCACCCACCAUUUUUUUCCCUUUUCCUGAAUUCAAUUAUGCCCACCCCCUCAGAGUUGUAUUUUGCUAAUUGUGUAUAACAGUUUCUUAACCGCGUUUAGCUUGGCCCAUUUUAACAUAACAAUUUUUGUGUUUGUGUAUCUUACUAACCUAACUAAUAACAUUAUUUUUAUUUUAAUUUACUAAUCCUACUAACAAACUACAUGAAAAUAAAUUAGAAACACAAUAGUUAUAAUAUACAUACAGCACAUUUUAAAGAAUACUAAGGACAAUUUGUAACAACGGUUACAUAAUGGCCGUUUCCCCGAAACGCUUUUUUUGGCAGAGGUUUGCGGUGUUCACGAUAGCAACGCAGCAGAUCAACUGAAAUAAAAAUAUUUCAUUAGUUUGGAAGUGUGCCGGGUAUCUGAAUGAUAGUUUUCAUAAGUAUUUUAUUUUCAGUGCUAACGGAAAAUUUUUCCCGAAAAGACAUGUUUUCAGCGCUGUAAAUUGCAUUGAAUUUUUUUUAGGCAAAGUUAAACUUCUUGUAUCGAUCGUUUAACGACCGGGAAACACAGACAAACAGACGUGCCUCAUCGAAGAAAAAUCCUGAAAAAUCUUCGUCCUUAUUCGAAACGUGUAUGUGUACUCAUGCGCCACCAUGUGAGCCCACUAUCUUAUUGUCGUAGAACGGUUUUUGUCUUUGCUAAUGGGUGUGCACGCUUGCAUAAAUCAACACCAGCGGCAUUACUGACGGUUCUUGUCUUUGAUAAUGAAUGUACACGCUUGGUUAUGGCGACACUAGCGGCAUUGUUGCCCACUAAGCAAAAUUUCAAAAUAUUCGUUAUUUAUCUGGUCGAUGAAAUCGUCACCGACUGGCACGUCUGUUUAUCUGUGCGGGGAAUAUAGAAAUGAACAUUUAAAAAAAAAGAUGAAGAGAAUCGGUUCAGUAUCACGGAUAGAAAAGACUGGUGAUUGAAAAAACAAUUUUCAUAGUUGAAUUCUUUAAGCCUCAUGGUCAUAUUGUUGGUUCAACCCCAUAAUUUAUUAUUGGAAUAAAUUCUCUCAAUUGCGUUAACACCUUUGCAUAGUCGAAUUGACUAUCAGUGUCACUAGUCUGUCAUAGGUUAAAUCAAAACAAAAUUAGGUUUUAUUUCAACUAGUGUGUAUAGUUGAAACAACCAUAAACAAACUUGAAGUAAUAACCUAAAUCUUCUGGUGUCGUUUUACUCAUCAUGGCUUCCGACGCUGAAAACGGGGAAAUCUUUGCUGAAUAUGUAGUAGAUGAAGAAAUCAUAGAGUUAUUAAAAUCAUUCAACGUAUGUGCUGAGGGUAUCGAUAAAUUUAUCACCAACGGUCACGACGUGGAAUCUUUAAAAAUGAUUGAACGAGAAGAAGUUGAAGCUGCGCUGCAGUCGCCUCUGUUGGCUGAAAGAACAAAAUGUCUUGAUGGUUUGAACAAAGGCGUAUUGCACUAGUAAGUUAACAGCACUCUCUUUGAUUAAGGGAUCCAAAAAAGGAAGGUACAUUCUGGAAAACUUUAAUUCGACAAAAGCUUUAUCGAGAUUUGUUGAUGAAUUCGGGAAGCUGAAACAGGGGAAGUUGACAUUACGAUCAGAAGAAUUAAAACAUAUUUUUCCGUCGGUUGAUCAGUACGUGUGGUAUCAACCAAGAAUUAAGAUUGGCGAAAACGGCAAGAAAAUCAAAAUUAGCGAUACUGCAAAAAGUUGCCUAUACGACCGUAAUCACAAUUAUAAGCAAGUUCCGAAAUCCACCGCAGCAUCGCCAGCCCUAGAUGUACCGUCAUCAAGCAGUACCCAACCGUUUGUUGAUCUAUCCACAGAAGAAGUGAUCAAGUAUCAGGCCACAAAAAAACUGGUUCUGACAUCACCACAGCAAAUGGGACGAUGUAAAAAAGCGCUGGUGCUGUGCUUCUCGUUUACACGAAAUCAGCCGGUUUGCACGAAAUCAACUGGAUGAAUACCCGGUGCUGCGAAAUAGCAUUGGCUAUCAGUUGGUAAAACUGGAUUUCGGUUUCAAGCAUCCAACAAAAAGUAACCUACUAUUCAGCAAUUUCGCGUUGUAUCGCUCACGAGCUAAAAGUAUUUUCCGCAACGAGGUGCCCAUGCAAAUUAAACAACUUUUAAAUUUACUGUUCAACGAAGAGCUAUCGGAAGGUUUUUAUUUAUCCAUAUUUGAAAAAUGUUCUACACUAGAGAGAAGCCAGAUAGAAUUACUAUCCUGUGAAAAAUGUAAAAAAGUAUGAAGAAUGAAUUUCUGUUUCCAUUUGUAGAUUCCGGAGAUUGCAUAGCAUAUUGCUCCUGCUGUGAAUUUGGCCAAGUUCAUUUACACUUCUUCCUAACGGAAGUCGUGAAAAUAGUAUUGUGCACUUAAGGACGCUGGCCGAUUAUGAAACAGAACUUUCCAGGAUUAGUCAACAAAAUCCCGACCGGAAGCUACCAGACUAUCCCAUGGUGGUAGUAGUUGGUGGUACGAAAAGUUAUGUCAACCAGUUUUUCGUUAACUUUAUUGACAUUUCCUACAAAGCGGAGACCUUCCUGAAAGCAAUCGACAAUACAUUUAAAAUCUACAAGGCCUACGAUCUAAAUUUCCCCAGUGAAGCCGCCGGUCCAUGUAAUUUUAUAGCCCAUUAUUACCUUUAUUAGAGCCAGUAGAAGAUAAAAACAAAGCAAGAAUCCUUACUCUUUCUGCAACUCUUCGUUACCAACUAAUUUCAUAAUGAUUUCGUGCUUUAUCUCCGGUUGUCAAUGGAAGACUUUUUGCCCGUCGCUUUUCGGAAUCCAUCUACAUAGAGUUCACGAACCAUUUGCCGAUCAAUAUUUUUUUUGAUGAUUUUUCGACCAGUGACACGGUUUCUCCGCAUGUCAGAAGCACUAAAGUGUGCGGCAUUAAUUACUACAUAUCUUGUUUCACCGCCAUUUGUAUUGUCACGACAUGUGAAAAUUCUCACGGCCGGAUAUAUCAUGUCAGAAGAUAGAAAACAUUUUGGAAAUGAGCAAACGCUUUAUCAACUCGUUGAGACUUUGAGUUUUCUAGAAAACAUUGGAGUUUUUGUAAAACACAAAGGUAAUGAGAUAACGGUUUUUUAAAGUAGGAUUUGUUACAAAAGAUAACUUAGGAUUGACCGAAAUUUUGAAUUUAGUAGAAUUUCCUACAGGUACAGCGAAUUAUUAUUGUCGCAUGUGCAUACGAAUCAGGAAAGGGGAAUAGGACUGCAUUGAAUAUGAAGAUUCACUCAGAUCUACAGAGAUGUACAAAGAACACUUAGAGAUAAAUGACAUGUCAAGGACAGGUGUUAAAGAAAAUUGUAUUUUAAAUCGCAUACCUUCUUUCAACGUAGCUUCAAAUAUUUUCUUUGAUGUGAUGCAGGACGUUCUAUGGUUUAUCUCAUUGCCUGCAUUAUUUUGUAAAUCAGAAAUAUUUUACAAUAGAUGAUCUUAAUUGCCGGAUAAACCUUUUCGUUUACGGUCAUUUGAAUUCAUCUAAUAUUCCGGCCGAUGUCAAAGACACAAAUCUAGUUAAUCAAGAAAUACGAAUGACUGCUAAUGAAAUUAUUACGUUAAUGCGUUUUUUAUCGUUAAUAAUAAGCAAACUAAUUCCAAGUGGAGAUCCAGGAUGGAUUUAUUUCUGUAGCUUACUUGAAAUUUUUGAUUUAGUUUAAAUGCAAGAUUUUCCAAUUAGUCUAAUUCAAGAGCUUAAAGAUAUAGUCGAGUUUCACCAUAAGCAGUACGUCAUUUUGUUUAAAGAUACAUUGAAACCCAAGCACCAUACGCCACAUUGGUACAUUACGGCCACAGCAAUAAUCAAAUCUGGUAGUUUACGUCGGUAAUGGGGAAUGAGAUGCGAGGCCAAGCAUAAACAAGCAAAGCUACAGAGCAAAUUAUAACAAACCUAAUAUUUGCAGUUCUUUAAUUACUAAAGCAAGUUUUAAUUUUGCCAAUGACAUUUUUCAAAAUUCUUUAGGUUAAAAAAGAAAACAUACUUGGCUCUAAAAUUCCAAAUGAGUAUAAAACUCUUUUAACAUAUCAAGAAUGUGAUAUUGCUGCAAAUCACAUACAUCUUAUUUCUCAUUUCAAUAAACAUCAUUUGAUCUACGAACAUGGAACUAUUUUUGUCAUUGAACAUAAGCUACCGUCUGCCGGGGUGAGAUUAAGCCACGGGGGUGAGAUUGAGCCAAAACGGGAAAUGUUUGUAUGUCAAAUUACUUGCGAUUUCCAAAACCUAAUACCUCAAAUUCAAUACUUUAUGAAACAUGACAUAUUUAUUCACAACUUAAAAUGGAAUAUAGAUAAUAUCAGUGAACUGUUUCGCUUCAAGAACGUUUCAAAGUACAGGGUGAAAAACAUGCGCAAAUAACGUUAUCCGAAAAUGUCUCAGGAAAACCAACCCGAUCAAGAAAUCACAUCAACUUACUGCUCUGUUGGUACGUUAGGUACGUUGGUCUCCAAUGUGUUGAGGAAAUAUUAUGCAUUGAAUCUGUGCCGGCUCAGAAAAUAAUGUUUCUCCAAACUGUACACUUUUCGAGCCCUUUUGAGGUGAGAUUGUGCCAAGCUAUAUUGAACGGCACAGUGUGCGGAAUUCACAUUCAAAACAAAAUUAUAUCAGUAUACAGUAAAGUCUUUUUUUACACGGUUUUUUACACGGUUUCAUUUUACACGAUUCUUUUUUACGACGAUUUUCCAAAUAACACGAUUUUUUGCCUUUCUCCUAGAAAGGUAUAGCAAUCACUGGAAAAACCGAAGGUAUAAAAGUGGUCCCAAUGGCCGAAUGUCAUAUACCACUCGACUUCUUUCGACGAACUGAGCAUUUUCUGUAUGUAUGUGUGUAUGUGUGUGUGUAUGUGCAACUUUUUUUUCUCACUCACUUUUCUCAGUGAUGCCUGGACCGAUUUUCAUAAAAUUGAUUGCAAAUGAAAGGUCUAGUUGCGCCAUAAGUUGCUAUUGAAUUUCAUUGUAAUCGGAUUUUUAGUUUAGAGGUUAUGUAUCAAAAUGUAAAAAUCACGAAACAUCAAUAUCUCAGGAACCACACAACCGAUUUGAAAAAAACUGGUUUUAAAUGAUUGGGCAAUCUCCAGAACCCUUAACUUUUGAAUUUCGUUAUGAUUGAACGUAUGGUUCAAAAGUUAUGUAAAGAAAAGUUAUCCUGAGGUUGUUUAAACUC
Long non-coding RNA from Wyeomyia smithii (pitcher-plant mosquito), 7809 nucleotides. RefSeq lists it as uncharacterized. Lineage: Eukaryota; Metazoa; Arthropoda; Insecta; Diptera; Culicidae. The transcript is spliced from 6 exons. The record is from RefSeq and is a predicted model, not a curated record.